Molecule: long non-coding RNA, 1058 nt
Organism: Lutra lutra (Eurasian river otter)
Lineage: Eukaryota; Metazoa; Chordata; Mammalia; Carnivora; Mustelidae
Exons: 5
Source: RefSeq, a predicted model, not a curated record
GGCUGUUGCUUAUCAGCAAACCAUUCAACAUCCGAACAUGCCCAGUGCCGAGUUUCCUUUUGGUAUCUACAUACAAGGAAAAGAACUGAAAUACAAAAAGCGCCUCUUCUCCCCCUUUGCAAAAGAAAAAAAAAAAAAAAAAAAAAAAAAAGGAAACUUACAGGCACUUUUAGAAAACUGGCCUAUAGGCGGACUAGAACAGGACACCUUUGUGCGGCCCGGCGGCCGGGCGCUGGUUGCGGAGGGGAGGAGGCUCCCCACCCGCAGACACUCCCCCGGGAGCGGGGCCUCAUGGGAAAGGGGGCCGGCGGGGGUGGGGGGGCUCCCGUGUGCGAGCCCCGGAGCAGCCCGGACCCCAGCAUCCUCUGCCCCCACGCGCCGCGCCCCCGCCCCCGCCCCCAGCUCGCGGCCCGAGAUGGAUCAUUCCCCCCCAAAUAAAUAAACAAAUCCAGCCGCGGCCAGCACCCGGUGAGGCGAGCGUGGCGCACACCUGAAGGCUGGUCUGUGAUUCACGGCAGAAUGGAUCACCAUGUAAACACUCCUAGGAAGUGAGUAAUUACUCUUCACCCUGACGCCGUUUGCAGGAAAAGCACGCCGAUGGGAUGCCACACUCACCCAAAACCUCAGUCAACUAUAUUUAUGAGUUUACAUUCAUUUGAUGAAUUACGACAGGCACACCUGUUUGGCUUCGUGGACUGCAGACACCGCCAGGGAAUGGUUGAGCAGAAAACUGCGUGAUCCCAAGGGAUGGCUGAAGGAUAAGACCCAAGAGAGCAAAGGGCAGGGUGGAGACUAACUAGAAUGGGAAGAGAACAUAACAUUGUCCUCAGGUCAGACAUCUAAAGUUAUGGAAAAUUGUGCCACUAAAAUAAGAGGUAACUUGCUUCAUUAUCACAUCAAAUUGCUUUCAUGCAAACUCAUCUUCCAGCUCCCUGCAAACAACACUGCUUGAUACAAAAACAGACAGAAAAGUGAAGCUUCCCUGGAGCUAUCAACACCUGGCAAACCUGAAGUCUGAAUUUCACUUCUUCUACAUCUCCCUAUGAAAGCUGUGCGGG